UAGCGAAACACCCGCGAGCGCGGGUGUCUGUCGAGCGCGGCGGCUCGGCACUGAUGAGCAGCUCAGA
Molecule: non-coding RNA, 67 nt
Filed under: Cupriavidus gilardii
Lineage: Bacteria; Pseudomonadati; Pseudomonadota; Betaproteobacteria; Burkholderiales; Burkholderiaceae
Source: RNAcentral